Long non-coding RNA from Mustela lutreola (European mink), 572 nucleotides. RefSeq lists it as uncharacterized. Lineage: Eukaryota; Metazoa; Chordata; Mammalia; Carnivora; Mustelidae. The record is from RefSeq and is a predicted model, not a curated record. The transcript is spliced from 5 exons.
UCAGAUCACCUGGCGUGCUGUGAAAUUCACAAUCAGCAUUGUUUUCAGAUUCAGGAAAGUGGUGUUCUUCCCCAACUGUAUCUAUUUUCCCAAGACUAGGAAGAGAAUCUACAUUUGGACUUGCCAUUGACAGUGAAAAGUGACAAUGCAUAAUAUGUUGACAAAGUCUCCAGGAUUUGAAGUUACACCCAAACCGAGCUAUAGCAUUUAUUAGCUACUGCACUUUGAACAAGUUAACCUCUUUAGGAAUCAAUGAUCUUACCAGAGAAGCACAGACAGACUCUACAAAUUUCUGUUUGAGUGAAGAACAUCGUAUCUCCCUUGUGGAAUUGCAACUGCUGGGCCAGUGUGACUUCCUGAGAGCCAUGGGUUCAUUCAGUUCUGUCAUGAGAAAAACAGAAAAUUUCUAGCAGUGGGGCAGCCUACCAAAUAUUUGAUCAGUACUCCUCAAAGCUACCCAGGUCAUCAAAAACAAGAGACAUCUGAGAAACAGCCACAGUCCAGAAGAACCUAAGAAUUCAUCCAUGGAUCAACUGUUGCUAUUCCAUUACGAUAACCAUUUCUUGGCUGAG